UGUUGUGCUCUCCUAUAAAUAACACAAAACUUGUGUCCGUUCUGAGUUUAGGCUGUACAGUCACAUUUUCUUGUCUUUUACCAAACUUUACUAUUUUAAAAGGCUUUUGCAGUGAGAGAAAGCCCUACCCACUAAAGCGAAGACUGAGGGGUGAGAUGCCACCAGGCCACCUGAUGGCCCUGCUUAACAGAAGGUGAAAAGGGAAGGGCUCUGCCACUGUCACCACAACCUCUGGCAGCCUGCUGGGUCAACCCAGAGCACAGUGGAGUCCUCUCAGGGAGCUGAAGGGAGAGACUGCAGGGCUUUCAGCAAGUACCCCUAGUCACAGUGGUGAAAAUGAGCAAAACCAAUACUACUCUAUGUCAACAUGAAAUCCAGAGGUGGAAUGAAAGGGGAAAAGAAAGGAAGAAAAAGAAGAACAAUCCAGGAAGAAAGCAAUUUGUUCUAGAGAUUGAAUGCACUGUCAAUCAAAUCUAAGAGCUCUUCAAUCUGAAAAUUGCUCCAUCUAAUAACAUAAAAAAGCAGAGUUCAU
Molecule: long non-coding RNA, 532 nt
Organism: Passer domesticus (house sparrow)
Lineage: Eukaryota; Metazoa; Chordata; Aves; Passeriformes; Passeridae
Exons: 3
Source: RefSeq, a predicted model, not a curated record